Molecule: ribosomal RNA, 506 nt
Filed under: uncultured bacterium
Lineage: Bacteria
Description: partial 16S ribosomal RNA
Rfam family: Bacterial small subunit ribosomal RNA
Source: RNAcentral
AUUGAACGCUGGCGGCAGGCCUAACACAUGCAAGUCGGACGGUAGCACAGAGGAGCUUGCUCCUCGGGUGACGAGUGGCGGACGGGUGAGUAAUGUCUGGGGAUCUGCCCGAUAGAGGGGGAUAACCACUGGAAACGGUGGCUAAUACCGCAUAACGUCGCAAGACCAAAGAGGGGGACCUCCGGGCCUCUCACUAUCGGAUGAACCCAGAUGGGAUUAGCUAGUAGGCGGGGUAACGGCCCACCUAGGCGACGAUCCCUAGCUGGUCUGAGAGGAUGACCAGCCACACUGGAACUGAGACACGGUCCAGACUCCUACGGGAGGCAGCAGUGGGGAAUAUUGCACAAUGGGCGCAAGCCUGAUGCAGCCAUGCCGCGUGUAUGAAGAAGGCCUUCGGGUUGUAAAGUACUCUCAGCGGGGAGGAAGGCGAUGUGGUUAAUAACCGCAUUGAUUGACGUUACCCGCAGAAGAAGCACCGGCUAACUCCGUGCCAGCCGCCGCAGUAA